Molecule: ribosomal RNA, 252 nt
Filed under: Clostridioides difficile
Lineage: Bacteria; Bacillati; Bacillota; Clostridia; Peptostreptococcales; Peptostreptococcaceae
Description: partial 23S ribosomal RNA
Rfam family: Bacterial large subunit ribosomal RNA
Source: RNAcentral
AAUCGAAGCAGUGAACUUCAGCCCCAGUAAACGGCGGCCGUAACUAUAACGGUCCUAAGGUAGCGAAAUUCCUUGUCGGGUAAGUUCCGACCCGCACGAAAGGCGUAACGAUUUGGGCACUGUCCCAACAACAGACUCGGUGAAAUUGUAAUUCCGGUGAAGAUGCCGGAUACCUGCGACAGGACGGAAAGACCCCAUGGAGCUUUACUGUAGCUUGACAUUGGGUCUUGGUACUACAUGUACAGGAUAGGU